This 469-nucleotide ribosomal RNA is filed under the name uncultured bacterium. RNAcentral's name for it is "bacterial SSU rRNA". It matches the Rfam family "Bacterial small subunit ribosomal RNA", at positions 1032 to 1497 of the family's 1533-position model. The record is from RNAcentral.
ACACAGGUGCUGCAUGGCUGUCGUCAGCUCGUGUCGUGAGAUGUUGGGNUAAGUCCCGCAACGAGCGCAACCCCUACUCUAUGUUGCUAAGGCCGUAAAGGCCAGCACUCUUAGAGAACUGCCUCGGACAACGGGGAGGAAGGUGGGGAUGACGUCAAGUCACCAUGGCCUUUAUGUCCAGGGCUACACACGUGCUACAAUGGCCGGUACAACGAGCAGCAAAUCCGUAAGGAGGAGCAAAUCUCUAAAAGCCGGCCCCAGUUCAGAUUGUGGGCUGCAAUUCGCCCACAUGAAGGUGGAAUCGCUAGUAAUCGGGGAUCAGCUGGCCCCGGUGAAUACGUUCCCGGGCCUUGUACACACCGCCCGUCACACCACGAAAGUUGAGUGCAACCAAAACCGGUGAUUCAACCCGCAAGGGAGAUAGCCGUCAAAGUUGUGAUCAAUGAUUGGGGUGAAGUCGUAACAAGGG